This 518-nucleotide ribosomal RNA is filed under the name uncultured Streptomyces sp. Its description in RNAcentral is "bacterial SSU rRNA". It matches the Rfam family "Bacterial small subunit ribosomal RNA", at positions 144 to 675 of the family's 1533-position model. Lineage: Bacteria; Bacillati; Actinomycetota; Actinomycetes; Kitasatosporales; Streptomycetaceae. The record is from RNAcentral.
CAAGCCCUGGAAACGGGGUCUAAUACCGGAUACGACACAGGGAGGCAUCUCCUCUGUGUGGAAAGCUCCGGCGGUGCAGGAUGAGCCCGCGGCCUAUCAGCUUGUUGGUGAGGUAACGGCUCACCAAGGCGACGACGGGUAGCCGGCCUGAGAGGGCGACCGGCCACACUGGGACUGAGACACGGCCCAGACUCCUACGGGAGGCAGCAGUGGGGAAUAUUGCACAAUGGGCGCAAGCCUGAUGCAGCGACGCCGCGUGAGGGAUGACGGCCUUCGGGUUGUAAACCUCUUUCAGCAGGGAAGAAGCGCAAGUGACGGUACCUGCAGAAGAAGCGCCGGCUAACUACGUGCCAGCAGCCGCGGUAAUACGUAGGGCGCAAGCGUUGUCCGGAAUUAUUUGGCGUAAAGAGCUCGUAGGCGGCUUGUCGCGUCGGUUGUGAAAGCCCGGGGCUUAACUCCGGGUCUGCAGUCGAUACGGGCAGGCUAGAGUUCGGUAGGGGAGAUCGGAAUUCCUGGUG